This 253-nucleotide ribosomal RNA is filed under the name uncultured bacterium. RNAcentral's name for it is "partial 16S ribosomal RNA". It matches the Rfam family "Bacterial small subunit ribosomal RNA", at positions 524 to 776 of the family's 1533-position model. The record is from RNAcentral.
GACGAACCGAGCGAACGUUGUUCGGAAUCACUGGGCUUAAAGGGCGCGUAGGCGGGCCGCCGCGUCCGGGGUGAAAUCCUCCCGCUCAACGGGAGAACGGCCUCGGAUACGGGCGGCCUGGAGGGGGGUAGGGGCGUGCGGAACUGUGGGUGGAGCGGUGAAAUGCGUUGAUAUCCACAGGAACGCCGGUGGCGAAGGCGGCACGCUGGACCCCACCUGACGCUGAGGAGCGAAAGCGUGGGGAGCGAACAGG